This 425-nucleotide ribosomal RNA is filed under the name uncultured bacterium. RNAcentral describes it as "partial 16S ribosomal RNA". It matches the Rfam family "Bacterial small subunit ribosomal RNA", at positions 354 to 796 of the family's 1533-position model. The record is from RNAcentral.
GUUAGGAAUAUUGGACAAUGGGCGAAAGCCUGAUCCAGCCAUGCCGCGUGAACGAUGAAGGCCUUCGGGUUGUAAAGUUCUUUAGCCGAUGAUUAUAAUGACUGUAGUCGGAAAAUAAGCCCCGGCUAACUUCGUGCCAGCAGCCGCGGUAAUACGAAGGGGGCGAGCGUUAUUCGGAAUCACUGGGCGUACAGCGUGCGUAGGCGGUUUUGUAAGUUAGGAGUGAAAGCCCAGGGCUCAACCUUGGAAUUGCUCUUAAAACUGCAAGGCUCGAAUCUCGGAGAGGAUAGCGGAAUUUCCAGUGUAGCAGUGAAAUGCGUAGAUAUUGGAAGGAACACCAGUGGCGUAAGCGGCUAUCUGGACGAGUAUUGACGCUGAGGCACGAAAGCGUGGGGAUCAAACAGGAUUAGAAACCCGUGUAGUCC